CCUACGGGUGGCUGCAGUGGGGAAUAUUGGACAAUGGGGGCAACCCUGAUCCAGCCAUGCCGCGUGUGUGAAGAAGGCCCUCGGGUUGUAAAGCACUUUCAGUGAGGAAGAACGCCUGGUGGUUAAUACCCAUCAGGAAAGACAUCACUCACAGAAGAAGCACCGGCUAACUCCGUGCCAGCAGCCGCGGUAAUACGGAGGGUGCGAGCGUUAAUCGGAAUUACUGGGCGUAAAGCGCGCGUAGGUGGCUUGAUAAGCCGGUUGUGAAAGCCCCGGGCUCAACCUGGGAACGGCAUCCGGAACUGUCAAGCUAGAGUGCAGGAGAGGAAGGUGGAAUUCCCGGUGUAGCGGUGAAAUGCGUAGAGAUCGGGAGGAAUACCAGUGGCGAAGGCGGCCUUCUGGACUGACACUGACACUGAGGUGCGAAAGCGUGGGUAGCAAACAGGAUUAGAUACCCUAGUAGUC
This 465-nucleotide ribosomal RNA is filed under the name Vreelandella stevensii. RNAcentral describes it as "partial 16S ribosomal RNA". It matches the Rfam family "Bacterial small subunit ribosomal RNA", at positions 338 to 795 of the family's 1533-position model. The record is from RNAcentral. Lineage: Bacteria; Pseudomonadati; Pseudomonadota; Gammaproteobacteria; Oceanospirillales; Halomonadaceae.